Molecule: long non-coding RNA, 425 nt
Filed under: Brassica napus (rape)
Lineage: Eukaryota; Viridiplantae; Streptophyta; Magnoliopsida; Brassicales; Brassicaceae
Description: long non-coding RNA (BNAP_LNC010644)
Source: RNAcentral
GACAUUUAUUUUUGACUAGUUUUAUAUAUUUUCAAGUAUUUAAACCACUUAAAAGUAUCAUAUAUUAUGGAUGUUUUUAUGUACAUUAAAUCUAAAAAUAAUUAAUAUAUAUAAGUAUAUAAAUCUAUUUUGGAUACAUUUAAAUACCUGAAAUACUUUGAUUCGGAUCGGAUUAGGUUUCAGUUCUCUAAAUAUCAAAAUUUUGAAUAAUUCAGAUAUUUCAUUAAUUUCGAUUCGAGUUUAGCAACAUAUUUUUGAAAAAUAUAUCCGCGCGGGCGUGCGAGUCAAAAUCUAGUUAAAAUUAUAAUUUGGAAAACGGAAAUCAAUUGACGAAAAAAAGAAAUCAUUACUUGACAUGACUUCAGUGUGGAUCUAACAUAUAUGUUGUCUUAAGCUAAAUUUUAAAUCUUUGCCCUUAUAUAUUU